RNAcentral lists this ribosomal RNA (413 nucleotides) under uncultured bacterium. RNAcentral describes it as "bacterial SSU rRNA". It matches the Rfam family "Bacterial small subunit ribosomal RNA", at positions 958 to 1392 of the family's 1533-position model. The record is from RNAcentral.
AACGCGAAGAACCUUACCUACCCUUGACAUGUCAGGAAGUCUGCAGAGAUGCGGAUGUGCUCGAAAGAGAACCUGAACACAGGUGCUGCAUGGCUGUCGUCAGCUCGUGUCGUGAGAUGUUGGGUUAAGUCCCGCAACGAGCGCAACCCUUGUCAUUAGUUGCCAUCAUUUAGUUGGGCACUCUAAUGAGACUGCCGGUGACAAACCGGAGGAAGGUGGGGAUGACGUCAAGUCCUCAUGGCCCUUACGGGUAGGGCUACACACGUGCUACAAUGGCAGUGACAAUGGGAUAAUCCCAAAAAGCUGUCUCAGUUCAGAUUGUCCUCUGCAACUCGAGGGCAUGAAGGUGGAAUCGCUAGUAAUCGUGGAUCAGCAUGCCACGGUGAAUACGUUCCCGGGGUCUGUACACACCG